Molecule: long non-coding RNA, 1880 nt
Organism: Eriocheir sinensis (Chinese mitten crab)
Lineage: Eukaryota; Metazoa; Arthropoda; Malacostraca; Decapoda; Varunidae
Exons: 4
Source: RefSeq, a predicted model, not a curated record
UGUGGUGGAGAUUGAGGCAUCGAACGUUUCUAUAGCUGUUCGUUAUACCCGCACAUAUUGUAGGAAUUAGGCUCAUUGCUAAAUUUUUUCAUGUGUUUGAUCUUGCUUCAGCAUAAAAAUAAUUACGACAAGAUUUAAUGUCCGUCCCCACAUUGACACAACAGAGUUACAACAACGAUGCGGAACAAAAGAAAGGUUAAUAUUCGUGCUUCAUUUGUUUCUCGACGGCACGGCGCCUCCACUGCCCCGCCCUUCUCUGUGUGUACUCUUGUGUUGUGAGCGGGUGUGUCUGCUUCUGCUGCUCCCCUGGCUCCGCCUGGUGCCUCUGCGGCGGCCAGCUGGCGCGCGAAACAUCCUUUGGUGGUCACUGGGGCUGCUUGACCGUCAUCCACGCCGUCGUGAUGAGCAUGUGAUUAUAACAGCUCGUGUGGAGGGAAAUGGAGGGACCAAGGAAGGGGGGAGGGAAGGAGAAGGGACGGAGGAGGGAGGGUAACAGCCGUAGAGCACUGGCGGCACACGUCCUCCUCCUCUCGUGACUCUUGCAGCACUGGCUCCCUCGCUGACCCUCUCCAGUAGUAUGUAGGAUUCUCCGUAUAAGACUUCUGCGUGUUAAACUUGCAGCGGUACAGGGAACAGGAAUGCAGACCGGCGCCACACUUCCUACCCUGGCCACACGGCGGAAACAAUCUUGGCUGUCUCGCCGCCUAAAACAGCGUUAACAUCUACGUCACCCCCUCGCCUGAGGUGUGCAAGUUUAGGAGACCUAGGCAACACUUCACCACCACAGGGCCUUGGUAGGUCGCACCAACUAUGGCCUCACCAACCAACCAGUCACCCACAGGAGCAUCACGACAACCGGUGAUCUGGCAGAUUAACGCCACCCUUCAGCCUCACCAGACUCAUCCACACUUGCACCAUACGGCUGCAAGGACUUAGUGGGAGGUAUGUAUGUGAUCAGACACACUGAACCUAGAGGACUGCUAAACUGCCUGAACUAGAGAAUAACCUCAGAAGGCUUAGUGAGACUAAUUUUCUGGCUCACCAUUUCAUCCACUGACCAGCACCAGCACCAGCACCACCACCCCACAGUCUUACCCACAUCACCCCCACCACAAGAUGGUACUUAUCAGAACGCUUGCCUACACCAGCACCAUCAUAAUCAGAGGGUCCUAAGAGGUCGUCACCCACCCUUCCUAACCACUCAAGCACACCAACUACAUAGAGGGACUUGGAGAUUAGCACAAAUUUACAGACUCACCCAUCAAUCAGAUGGUCAUAACGACUAGAGAUGUGCCGAUAGUAUCGGUAUUGGCAAGGUGAAAAUAUUGCCAAUAUUCUGAUACUUUUCUGGCUUACUUAUUAUGUGAUUCAAGACUUUUUAUUAGUAUCAACUUUCUAGACCAUCCAGUUAUAGUUAUUCCCAGAUUAUUUCUAAAUUUAAAAUUCAAGUAAUUCUAUACUUUUAUAAUCUUACAUACAUGAAAUCUAAAUAAAGUCUCAGUAUCAGCAAAAUAUCAGCCGUUUGUUAGUAUUGCAGAAUCAGUACCAGUAUCAGCCAACAUCGUAGUAUCAGCACAUCUCUAAUAAAGACUUAAUGCCCUUAUAUAUUAUUCUUUCCUCAAAUCCCUUCCCUUCUAUUCUACUGUAUCUCCCCUCCCAACAGCCUCUUGCAGACUACACUCUUGUUAUUCUCUCUCCUCUAAUCCUUAUCUUUCUAUUCUCCCAUCUCUCCUCUUUCUUUCAAUGGCCUCUAUGAUCUUAUUUUCUUCCUUUUGACCCUUACCUUUCCCUUCCUUUAGGCAACUGCUGCCCCUCAGCCUCGAGGGCCCUUUAAGGAAAUUUAUACUAAAUUACAGCUUCCCUCAUCCACCCCAACCAGU